GCACUGGAGGUUCAGUUGUUGAAUUCUCACCUUCUGUGCAAGAGACCUGGGUUCGAGUUCCGGCCAAUGUA
RNAcentral lists this transfer RNA (71 nucleotides) under Loxodonta africana (African savanna elephant). It matches the Rfam family "tRNA". From Rfam's summary of the family: Transfer RNA (tRNA) molecules are approximately 80 nucleotides in length. The record is from Rfam by way of RNAcentral. Lineage: Eukaryota; Metazoa; Chordata; Mammalia; Proboscidea; Elephantidae.